RNAcentral lists this ribosomal RNA (253 nucleotides) under uncultured bacterium. RNAcentral's name for it is "partial 16S ribosomal RNA". It matches the Rfam family "Bacterial small subunit ribosomal RNA", at positions 524 to 776 of the family's 1533-position model. The record is from RNAcentral.
UACGUAGGGUGCAAGCGUUGUCCGGAAUUAUUGGGCGUAAAGAGCUCGUAGGCGGUUUGUCGCGUCUGCUGUGAAAACCCGAGGCUCAACCUCGGGCCUGCAGUGGGUACGGGCAGACUAGAGUGCGGUAGGGGAGAUUGGAAUUCCUGGUGUAGCGGUGGAAUGCGCAGAUAUCAGGAGGAACACCGAUGGCGAAGGCAGAGUCUCGGGCCGUAACUGACGCUGAGGAGCGAAAGCAUGGGGAGCGAACAGG